GGCGCUAUCGUCUAGUCCGGUUUAGGACACCACGCUUUCAAUGUGGUAACCCGGGUUCGAAUCCCGGUGGCGCUA
RNAcentral lists this transfer RNA (75 nucleotides) under Candidatus Tagabacteria bacterium CG_4_9_14_0_2_um_filter_41_11. RNAcentral's name for it is "tRNA-Glu". It matches the Rfam family "tRNA". From Rfam's summary of the family: Transfer RNA (tRNA) molecules are approximately 80 nucleotides in length. Their secondary structure includes four short double-helical elements and three loops (D, anti-codon, and T loops). The record is from RNAcentral. RNAcentral also lists the same sequence under 2 other names. Lineage: Bacteria; Candidatus Tagaibacteriota.